ACGAACGCUGGCGGCGUGCUUAACACAUGCAAGUCGAGCGGUAAGGCCCUUUCGGGGGUACACGAGCGGCGAACGGGUGAGUAACACGUGGGUGACCUGCCCUCAGCUCUGGGAUAAGCCUGGGAAACUGGGUCUAAUACCGGAUAUGACUUUCUUACGCAUGUAGGAAGGUAGGGAAAGUUCCGGCGGUGCAGGAUGAACCCGCCGGCCUAUCAGCUUGUUGGUGGGGUAAGUGGCCUACCAAGGCGACGACGGGUAGCCGGCCUGAGAGGGCGACCGGUCACACUGGGA
RNAcentral lists this ribosomal RNA (291 nucleotides) under uncultured bacterium. RNAcentral describes it as "partial 16S ribosomal RNA". It matches the Rfam family "Bacterial small subunit ribosomal RNA", at positions 29 to 318 of the family's 1533-position model. The record is from RNAcentral.